RNAcentral lists this unclassified non-coding RNA (354 nucleotides) under Hevea brasiliensis (rubber tree). Lineage: Eukaryota; Viridiplantae; Streptophyta; Magnoliopsida; Malpighiales; Euphorbiaceae. The record is from RNAcentral.
AUUUCUUUCUAAAACUCUCAUAUCUUCUCUCAAACCAGAAUUUUAUUCUUUUUUAAAUAAAAAAAAAAUCCUCUUGAUCUUAUCCUCUUCCCUGCUUCCAUAGAAGAAGAUUCAUGGAGCUUUCCUUGCUUAAGUUGAAACCAGUUACACUGGUUAUGAAUACAACUUAAGUCAUCUGUUUUGGUCCAUCCAAGAGAUGAGAGAUAGCCCCAGGCAAGAAAAAAACGUGGGAUUUUAAGCCUAUGAGACACUAAAUAAGAGAGGUAUGACCUUCAUGUGGUAGAUAUGCUUAGCUUUUUAUCAUAUCUGGGGUGAACCUGUUCUUGUUACAAGAAAUUUUGCAGCAGUAUGUUG